GAGAAGACAACAACGAAGGAUAAUGGUGAGGCCAAUGCGACGAAGACUAAAAUCUAUGGAGUACCCUUGAGAUAGGAAAUAUCCAAAACCCUACCCUAAUGCCUACGAAAGCACUAAGGGUUUGCAAGAGCAAGAGCAACACAACGAGAGUGACCUCUGCAAGAACGAAAGCGAUCACCACCGAGUGAGAGAUGACAAAAGCAACAACCAAGUGCAGUGAGAGAGAAGACGAGAGCCACGAAUGAGAGUAAAGAGUAGUGUGAGGGAGGAGAAUACUCUGAGCCGAACAAUCAAGUGCAAUGCAAAGGAGAGAAGGGGGAAGAUGAAAAUUAAAGGUUCUAUGUCGUUUAUAGUAAAAAAUUGGCAUAAUAUCUAUUUUUUAAAUUAAAAAUAAUAUUCGCACUCACUUUCUAUGCCGAUUCUAGACAUAAUCGACAUAUAAAAUCUUAUAUUUUGUUAUGAAAUUGUC
This 469-nucleotide long non-coding RNA is filed under the name Vigna radiata. Its description in RNAcentral is "long non-coding RNA (VRAD_LNC000321)". Lineage: Eukaryota; Viridiplantae; Streptophyta; Magnoliopsida; Fabales; Fabaceae. The record is from RNAcentral.